Molecule: long non-coding RNA, 151 nt
Filed under: Daphnia pulicaria
Lineage: Eukaryota; Metazoa; Arthropoda; Branchiopoda; Diplostraca; Daphniidae
Description: uncharacterized LOC124311764
Source: RNAcentral
UUGAACAUGUUGAAAAUAUACCAAAUUUAAUUUUAAACAUUCUAAAGUAACGUACGAGUGUACGACUCUUUAGCACACAUACGUAGACUAAAAUUAGAGAACCUCUCAAAGAAGCAUCUUCAUGACACGGCAGCGAUCACGUGGAGAAAGG